RNAcentral lists this ribosomal RNA (506 nucleotides) under uncultured bacterium. Its description in RNAcentral is "partial 16S ribosomal RNA". It matches the Rfam family "Bacterial small subunit ribosomal RNA", at positions 29 to 523 of the family's 1533-position model. The record is from RNAcentral.
AGUGAACGCUGGCGGUAGGCCUAACACAUGCAAGUCGAACGGCAGCACAGGAGAGCUUGCUUUCUGGGUGGCGAGUGGCGGACGGGUGAGGAAUACAUCGGAAUCUACUCUGUCGUGGGGGAUAACGUAGGGAAACUUACGCUAAUACCGCAUACGACCUACGGGUGAAAGCAGGGGACCUUCGGGCCUUGCGCGAUUGAAUGAGCCGAUGUCGGAUUUGCUAGUUGGCGGGGUAAAGGCCCACCAAGGCGACGAUCCGUAGCUGGUCUGAGAGGAUGAUCAGCCACACUGGAACUGAGACACGGUCCAGACUCCUACGGGAGGCAGCAGUGGGGAAUAUUGGACAAUGGGCGCAAGCCUGAUCCAGCCAUACCGCGUGGGUGAAGAAGGCCUUCGGGUUGUAAAGCCCUUUUGUUGGGAAAGAAAUCCAGCUGGCUAAUACCCGGUUGGGAUGACGGUACCCAAAGAAUAAGCACCGGCUAACUUCGUGCCAGCAGCCGCCGUAA